AUAAUCAUUCAUUAUCUUUACAAUUAAUCAUCUAAAGCUACCACAGUUCUUUAAUCAAAGUAUAUAUCUACAUAUAUAGAGAGAGUACACUUUAUAAUUUCGUCCCUUGUCUUCCGUAAACGUAGUACGAAAAUUUGAUACCCAGUAUUGUAAGGCAGGUCAUAGAAGCAAUCUUCCUGCACAUAUUUAAAAAUAAUAGCUAGUCAGAAAAAUGAAUCAAAUAGGUCACCAGAGGCACUUAGUGCCAAAAUCAAUACACAAAGACAAUAAAGUUGCUACGUGGUACUAAUGUACACCGUAUUGCUCAUAAGCAGAAAAAGACAAAUAGGAAAUCACAAUAUCAUUUGCUACAAAUCCAAAUAGAAAAAGAACCUUUAGUUUGACUAUAUGAUUGCUCUGUUACAAGAAAAAAAUUGGAAUCUUAAUCGGCCAUUUCAUGAAUUAAUUUCAGUAAGCAUAGUGGUAAACUUAUUUUCUGUUACAAGACUUGUAGAUUAUUAUUAUAUGUUGACCUCAAGUUAGAAUUCAGUCACAUUCAACAACCACAAGCAUCACACAAUAUUAAAUACCAUCACACAAUCUUAAAUAACAAUGUUUAGAUUUCUAUAUAGAAAGGACACCAAUUAUUGAAGGAGGCAAAGUGAAGAUAGUUAGAUUUCCGUGGAUACGCAUCUUCAAGAAAGUAGUAAGCAUGACCAACUAUCAUUCCCUGAAUCACAGAUAUAAUAUUCAAGUUAAUUGUAGUAUCAGUAGUAGGCUAAGAGAAGGAGGCAAAGUGAAGAUGGGAAAAUCUGUUAUAAUUAAGUAAAUCAUUCACAUCAGAAUCAUAUGGGCUGAUUUCCCUAAGCUAAGUAACUCUCGUGUCUUCAAGCACUAGGCCAAUUUUUGGCUUCAAGAUAUUUAUUGUUCCCUACAAACAAGGAUUCUUAAGGUUUUCAGAGGAUAUACGUCUAACAUUAUACCUUUAGAUGGAUAGAUAAGGUGUUAUGGCUAGUGGAAGAUUAUAGAAGCUCACACCCUUAUCAGCAUGAAGCUGUAAAAAGUGACUACAAUUUUCUAAGUUCUUACAUGUAUCUUAAAACAGGAAACAUAUUUCAGACAAAGAAAGAUAAAUUCUAAGGGAAGAAAGUCCACAUACAGAUUUAAAUUGAUGCUCACCCAUGGUCAAGCAAUACAACAUCUGUUGAAUGAAACCUCCAUUCAAUUGUCCACGAAAUGAACCUCUUCCUGGAACACAAUUUAGUAAAAAUUAUUCAUUAGAAAUCUCAUGUCCCUGUUACCACUGGUCACAUACAUAAGAAACACAAAAAUAGAUCCUUCCUUUUCGGUGACCUCUUAGAGAAUCGGACUGAUCUCCAGGCCACAGAACACAUGCCACAGUACAUGAAAUUACAUUUGAAAUUAUGUCUAAGGAUUCCAUUGGCCAAAAUUUCCAAUAAGUUGGUGACACCAGCAACAUUAUUUACAACGUAUAAUGUACACCUGCUCAAGGAUUUAAAGCAUCAAAAUUUUAUUGAUUUAUGACAACCACUAGUAUCAUUAUUACCAAGAUAACAUUAAUAAUCUGUGAACCUAUGAACCUAUAGUCCACCAAACAAGAAGGUGGUGCAAAUAGUAAAUAAAAUACUCAAACUCAUCAAUUUGCAUAUAUAUAAUAACAUCAAGCCACAUAAUAAUUACCUGGAAUCCUGAUCCAAAAGAAUUUACAACAAAUAUGUCAAACAUCUUUCCCUGUAUAGUUUAAGAAAAUUUGAAAACAUCAUCACUUGGAAAUUGGAAUAUGUUGUGAGCAUGAAAACAGUAAUAACAAAGUGGCAGUGAAUUUCUUCAAAGAAAAGAAAUUGUACUGGCCAUACCUUGAAGCGUCUGGCAGAAUCGAUGAAAACAGAUUCCAAUUUAUACAAAUUAUUUUGAGUGUUAUUUGUUUGCUCACAUGGACAACCUUCAGAGUAUGACCACUAUUCAUUUUAUUACCUUGAGAAUAGAUGCGCCAGCUUGAAAAGCACUUGAUGCAAUCAUUAGCAGUGGCCACACAAAACCAAUUCCAGAAAGCAUUUGGCCAGUUUCUGAUCCACUGUACUCCAGAAACAUACAACUUUAAAAGACAGUAAUGAAAAAUGGCUAGGAUAAGGGAACAACUAUACGAUAUAACACGAAGCAAUACCAAAGAUCCUCAACUUUCAUAAUCAACUUCCAAGUCCAUGAACAAAACACCUCAGGCCUGACAACUUUCACCAAAAAUUUAAGAAAACAGAACCAACUUCUAGGGAACACGCUCUUGGAAAAAGUAAAAAAUGUGCCCAAAUAACUUUAAGUUAGAAUCUUCACACUCAAAUUCCUGCUACUUCUAACAUUAAUUGGGAUCUAUCCGCGCAUAGAACAGAGCAAUAACAUAAUUUAUGAGGAUUAUUCAAAUUAUUUGACAAGAAGAGGAUACAGUUCUUUCCUAUAUUGAUUCUUGUGUCCAGUAGUAUCAUUCAACAGAUGUUAGCGUACGGGAUUUUGUACAAAGGUAAUUCUCUCAUAAAACUCAAUUAUCUCAUAACUCAAUAAAUUAUAUAAUUCAAUGUAUCAAAAAUAAUACACAUACAUCUAUUUUUUGACGUAGGUCUAUAGGAGUAGAUAACCAUAAAGUUACCGUAAAUUAGAUAGGGAAAAUGAAGUGCCGAACCACCGAAAGGCAAAGUGGGGAGAUAAAUUCAGUCAGCCACGCCUCCACAGCUGAACCUCAACCAAAGAAGAGGUGAAACGGCGAGACAAACAGACGGCGAAGGCCGGAGAUUGAGACGGGAGAGGUGGAGGCCGGAGAUUGAGACGGGAAGAGGUCGGAGAGUCGAGAGGCAAGAAGAGGCUGAGGAAUCGGGAAUGGAAGGGGGAAAUGGGCUGGGGCAAAAUACAUACAGUACAGACUAGCAGUAUUAAGUAUACA
Molecule: long non-coding RNA, 2929 nt
Filed under: Panax ginseng (ginseng)
Lineage: Eukaryota; Viridiplantae; Streptophyta; Magnoliopsida; Apiales; Araliaceae
Description: long non-coding RNA (PGIN_LNC000615)
Source: RNAcentral